RNAcentral lists this ribosomal RNA (630 nucleotides) under uncultured Frankiaceae bacterium. Its description in RNAcentral is "bacterial SSU rRNA". It matches the Rfam family "Bacterial small subunit ribosomal RNA", at positions 759 to 1381 of the family's 1533-position model. The record is from RNAcentral. Lineage: Bacteria; Bacillati; Actinomycetota; Actinomycetes; Frankiales; Frankiaceae.
GCGUGGGUAUGGACCGGAUUAGAUACCCCGGUUGGUCCCCCCGGUAACGUUGGGCGCUAGGGUUGGGGCUUCAUUCCACGAGUUUCGUGCCGCCGCAAACCCAUUAGGCGCCCCCGCCUGGGGAGUACGGCCGCCAAGGCUAAAACUCCAAAGGAAAUUGACGGGGCCCCCGCCACAAGCGGCGGAGCAUCCGGAUUAAUUCGAUGCAACGCGAAGAACCUUACCCAAAGCUUGACAUACAGGGAAAUCUCGCAGAGAUGUGAGGUCCGCAAGGGUCCUGUACAGGUGGUGCAUGGUUGUCGUCAGCUCGUGUCGUGAGAUGUUGGGUUAAGUCCCGCAACGAGCGCAACCCUCGUCCUAUGUUGCCAGCGGGUCGUGCCGGGGACUCAUAGGAGACUGCCGGGGUCAACUCGGAGGAAGGUGGGGAUGACGUCAAAUCAUCAUGCCCCUUAUGUCUUGGGCUUCACGCAUGCUACAAUGGCCAGUACAAAGGGCUGCGAGACCGUGAGGUGGAGCGAAUCCCAAAAAGCUGGUCUCAGUUCGGAUUGGGGUCUGCAACUCGACCCCAUGAAGUCGGAGUCGCUAGUAAUCGCAGAUCAGCAACGCUGCGGUGAAUACGUUCCCGGGGCU